This 230-nucleotide ribosomal RNA is filed under the name uncultured bacterium. RNAcentral's name for it is "partial 16S ribosomal RNA". It matches the Rfam family "Bacterial small subunit ribosomal RNA", at positions 118 to 348 of the family's 1533-position model. The record is from RNAcentral.
UGAGUAACCUGCCCCAGACUCUGGGAUAAGCACUGGAAACGGUGUCUAAUACCGGAUACGAGCUUCAGCCGCAUGGCUAGGAGCUGGAAAGAUUUCGGUCUGGGAUGGACUCGCGGCCUAUCAGCUAGUUGGUGUGGGUAAUGGCCCACAAGGCGACGACGAGUAGCUGGUCUGAGAGGACGACCAGCCCACACUGGAACUGAGAUACCGGUCCAGACCUCUACGGGGAG